ACGACAGAAUCUGAUCUACCUGCUUCUUGGUUAGAUAAUUAGAUUAUGCUGUAGCCGAGUUCCGGUUUGCUGUUGUUCUCCAUUCCCAUUCGCUCAGAGCUAGCUCCUAUCAGUUUCUGUUCUAGCUGUUCAUCCUGACAAGAUUAGAUUAGUGUGCCAUGUGAGGACCGAAAAAAAAAUAAGCAGUAUAUUUCUACUACUCUAUGCAUAAUCCCAUGGGCCACCAGCUUCGCAUUGACCUGAAUCUUUUUUUUGGAUCUCAUGAUCUGGGUGCAUGGUAUGAUGAUUCCCGUCAUCGGAAAGGAACAGCUAUGCAUUUGCUUGGAAUCUAGUUGGUUAAUGAUCCAGUGGCAUGGAUCACGAUGCAUGCCGACUGAAGAUAAAGGGUAGAAGCUUUAAGGCAGCCUAGUCCUUAUGAAAUGGUAAGGCUUUCCCUUUGAUGACGGACUCCAUUCAUCUACUUCGAAGGAAUUUCUGUUGUGCGCAUGUUCUUGUAUUUCCUGAAUGUGUUGUCGCUUUCUUGUUUAGUCUAAGAUAGAGCAGAGGGUUAUUUUUAGAUGAUGGACCAAAUGAUUUAUCAGCAGUUGAAGACAUGGUUGUCUGGUUGCAGUUGCUUGCUAGCUAACCAUUUAUAAUAUUUCCAAAUCUGCAACUUGGAGGCUCGAGACCGUGCGGGAAGUUGAUUGUUUCAUUAAAAUCAAAUUGGUCAGAAUUGGAUGAGAUAACCAGGGAUGCAGAUACCUAAUGAAUCAGAACAUACUAUAUGAGAUAAGGGAUGCAGAUACCUAAUGAAUCACAAGGAAUAUCACAUAGUCAAUGCACCAAGAGGAGUAGAGGAAAUGGUAGCUAACCUCUCUUCUUGCAAAUACUCAAAUGUUUCCAUCUGUUGAUUCAAUACAGUUCAUUUGGCCAAAAUUUGCAUUAGAUUCCUUGUAAAAAAUAGUCGAGUGUCGCUCUCGGCCUGCUGGAGAACUGAUGGCUUCCAUUUCGAGCCUUGUCAUUGUAGCUGUUUAAAUACUAAUUAAGAUUCAGUU
Molecule: long non-coding RNA, 1034 nt
Organism: Oryza brachyantha (malo sina)
Lineage: Eukaryota; Viridiplantae; Streptophyta; Magnoliopsida; Poales; Poaceae
Exons: 3
Source: RefSeq, a predicted model, not a curated record